RNAcentral lists this ribosomal RNA (1391 nucleotides) under Staphylococcus aureus. RNAcentral's name for it is "partial 23S ribosomal RNA". It matches the Rfam family "Bacterial large subunit ribosomal RNA", at positions 1514 to 2904 of the family's 2925-position model. Lineage: Bacteria; Bacillati; Bacillota; Bacilli; Caryophanales; Staphylococcaceae. The record is from RNAcentral.
AAGCAGUAAGGCUGAGUAUUAGGCAAAUCCGGUACUCAUUAAGGCUGAGCUGUGAUGGGGAGAAGACAUUGUGUCUUCGAGUCGUUGAUUUCACACUGCCGAGAAAAGCCUCUAGAUAGAAAAUAGGUGCCCGUACCGCAAACCGACACAGGUAGUCAAGAUGAGAAUUCUAAGGUGAGCGAGCGAACUCUCGUUAAGGAACUCGGCAAAAUGACCCCGUAACUUCGGGAGAAGGGGUGCUCUUUAGGGUUAACGCCCAGAAGAGCCGCAGUGAAUAGGCCCAAGCGACUGUUUAUCAAAAACACAGGUCUCUGCUAAACCGUAAGGUGAUGUAUAGGGGCUGACGCCUGCCCGGUGCUGGAAGGUUAAGAGGAGUGGUUAGCUUCUGCGAAGCUACGAAUCGAAGCCCCAGUAAACGGCGGCCGUAACUAUAACGGUCCUAAGGUAGCGAAAUUCCUUGUCGGGUAAGUUCCGACCCGCACGAAAGGCGUAACGAUUUGGGCACUGUCUCAACGAGAGACUCGGUGAAAUCAUAGUACCUGUGAAGAUGCAGGUUACCCGCGACAGGACGGAAAGACCCCGUGGAGCUUUACUGUAGCCUGAUAUUGAAAUUCGGCACAGCUUGUACAGGAUAGGUAGGAGCCUUUGAAACGUGAGCGCUAGCUUACGUGGAGGCGCUGGUGGGAUACUACCCUAGCUGUGUUGGCUUUCUAACCCGCACCACUUAUCGUGGUGGGAGACAGUGUCAGGCGGGCAGUUUGACUGGGGCGGUCGCCUCCUAAAAGGUAACGGAGGCGCUCAAAGGUUCCCUCAGAAUGGUUGGAAAUCAUUCAUAGAGUGUAAAGGCAUAAGGGAGCUUGACUGCGAGACCUACAAGUCGAGCAGGGUCGAAAGACGGACUUAGUGAUCCGGUGGUUCCGCAUGGAAGGGCCAUCGCUCAACGGAUAAAAGCUACCCCGGGGAUAACAGGCUUAUCUCCCCCAAGAGUUCACAUCGACGGGGAGGUUUGGCACCUCGAUGUCGGCUCAUCGCAUCCUGGGGCUGUAGUCGGUCCCAAGGGUUGGGCUGUUCGCCCAUUAAAGCGGUACGCGAGCUGGGUUCAGAACGUCGUGAGACAGUUCGGUCCCUAUCCGUCGUGGGCGUAGGAAAUUUGAGAGGAGCUGUCCUUAGUACGAGAGGACCGGGAUGGACAUACCUCUGGUGUACCAGUUGUCGUGCCAACGGCAUAGCUGGGUAGCUAUGUGUGGACGGGAUAAGUGCUGAAAGCAUCUAAGCAUGAAGCCCCCCUCAAGAUGAGAUUUCCCAACUUCGGUUAUAAGAUCCCUCAAAGAUGAUGAGGUUAAUAGGUUCGAGGUGGAAGCAUGGUGACAUGUGGAGCUGACGAAUACUAA